ACUCUCAAAAUUAGUGGAUGUAUCAUCGUUGUUGAUAGAUUUAUCGGAGAGCGACUCCGAACCACCAGAAAAGAUAGAGAAAUCAAAAGAAUGGUGAUGAUGGCUGCUACCGCCGUGGAGGGUGCGGCCUCGACGGCUCUGCGAGCGGUGCUCCACCGAGUCCGCCAGGCUGCUGAGAGAUCAGGCCGCAUAGCCGAUGAUGUGAGGGUGGUUGCAGUGAGCAAAACCAAGCCCAUCUCUCUCAUCCGCCAAGUCUACGACUCUGGUCAUCGCUGUUUCGGCGAGAACUAUGUCCAAGAGAUCAUAGAAAAAGCACCUCGGCUUCCUGAGGACAUUGAGUGGCAUUUUGUUGGGCAUUUGCAGAGCAAUAAAGUGAAAUCACUUUUGGUUGCAGUCCCAAAUCUUGCAAUGGUUGAGGGUGUAGAUAAUGUGAAGGUUGCAAAUCAGCUUGAUCGUGUAGUCUCAACCAUAGGAAGAAAUCCUUUGAAGGUUUUGGUCCAAGUGAAUACAAGUGGAGAAGAAUCAAAAUCUGGUGUUGAUCCAUCAGGUUGCGUGGAGCUUGUAAAGCAUGUUAAGCGUGGUUGCCCAAACCUUGAAUUCUCUGGCUUAAUGACAAUAGGAAUGCCUGACUAUUCAUCAACUCCGGAGAACUUCAGGUUGUUGUCAAACUGUAGAAUUGAGGUCUGCAAGGUCAUUGGAAUGGCAGAGAACCAAUGUGAACUCUCAAUGGGCAUGUCUGGUGACUUUGAGGAAGCGGUUUUGUUGUUCUGAUAGAAAACUUGGCUCCUGAACUGUCCAUAAGCUGCCUCAUACAGCUUUCCCUAUGAACUUGAAGCCCCCUCUCUCUAAAUUUGAAUUAAAAACAUCCCCUCAUACACUUCACAAUCGUAUUCUACAAAUUCUACUGAAAAAUAGAUUGAAAUGGGCAGUACCAAUGUCAGAAUUGGAUCAACCAUAUUUGGACCGAGAGAGUACCCGAAGAAAAAUUAGUAACCUUUGUGUAUCAUUUUAUCCGAGUACAGAUUGAAUUAUAAUGAUUAAUAUCUUACAACAAAUGAAUAACCAUAGUUCUUUGAAAUUUUGAGAGAUGGAUGCAAUUUAUGCACUUCCUCAUUAAAUGUACAUAAUUCAAUAUGAAAGUGAAUAUUUUUCAGAUUUUACAAGCCUCUGAUCUGGUAUGGGGAUGUAUGCAAAUUUUCUUUUUAACCAA
This is a non-coding RNA of Camellia sinensis, 1210 nucleotides long. Lineage: Eukaryota; Viridiplantae; Streptophyta; Magnoliopsida; Ericales; Theaceae. The record is from RefSeq and is a predicted model, not a curated record.